CCCGCGCGUCCGCAAUUUGAAUUCACAAUUCCAACGGUUUUCCUCUAUUGGUUGUGGUUCAUGGGUCUGUGCGUUCAUCUUGCGUCUCUGUCUGAUUGUGUGCGUCUGUUAACUAACAAAUCUCAGCUCUGAGGUGCAGUCGGGGGACGUUGAGACCACCUGCUGUAAAACAGAGAUCAAGCCUGGAUCCUGUUCAUGUCAGUGAGAGAUCAGCAAUGACAGCGGUUAGACAGACAGCCAUGUACUCUGUUUAAAUGCACACCACAUGAGUACCAGAGAGAAUGACAUCAUAUCCUGUUCAUCGCACAAACACUGCUAACGUGCUGGAAUUGAAGUCAGAAGAAAAUGAAAGUUGUAUCAUUCCAG
Long non-coding RNA from Carassius auratus (goldfish), 366 nucleotides. RefSeq lists it as uncharacterized. NCBI's taxonomy places the organism in Eukaryota, Metazoa, Chordata, Actinopteri, Cypriniformes, Cyprinidae. The record is from RefSeq and is a predicted model, not a curated record. The transcript is spliced from 4 exons.